GAUGAACGCUGGCGGCGUGCCUAAUACAUGCAAGUCGAGCGAACGGACGAGAAGCUUGCUUCUCUGAUGUUAGCGGCGGACGGGUGAGUAACACGUGGAUAACCUACCUAUAAGACUGGGAUAACUUCGGGAAACCGGAGCUAAUACCGGAUAAUAUUUUGAACCGCAUGGUUCAAAAGUGAAAGACGGUCUUGCUGUCACUUAUAGAUGGAUCCGCGCUGCAUUAGCUAGUUGGUAAGGUAACGGCUUACCAAGGCAACGAUGCAUAGCCGACCUGAGAGGGUGAUCGGCCACACUGGAACUGAGACACGGUCCAGACUCCUACGGGAGGCAGCAGUAGGGAAUCGUCCGCAAUGGGCGAAAGCCUGACGGAGCAACGCCGCGUGAGUGAUGAAGGUCUUCGGAUCGUAAAACUCUGUUAUUAGGGAAGAACAUAUGUGUAAGUAACUGUGCACAUCUUGACGGUACCUAAUCAGAAAGCCACGGCUAACUACGUGCCAGCAGCCGCGGUAAUACGUAGGUGGCAAGCGUUAUCCGGAAUUAUUGGGCGUAAAGCGCGCGUAGGCGGUUUUUUAAGUCUGAUGUGAAAGCCCACGGCUCAACCGUGGAGGGUCAUUGGAAACUGGAAAACUUGAGUGCAGAAGAGGAAAGUGGAAUUCCAUGUGUAGCGGUGAAAUGCGCAGAGAUAUGGAGGAACACCAGUGGCGAAGGCGACUUUCUGGUCUGUAACUGACGCUGAUGUGCGAAAGCGUGGGGAUCAAACAGGAUUAGAUACCCUGGUAGUCCACGCCGUAAACGAUGAGUGCUAAGUGUUAGGGGGUUUCCGCCCCUUAGUGCUGCAGCUAACGCAUUAAGCACUCCGCCUGGGGAGUACGACCGCAAGGUUGAAACUCAAAGGAAUUGACGGGGACCCGCACAAGCGGUGGAGCAUGUGGUUUAAUUCGAAGCAACGCGAAGAACCUUACCAAAUCUUGACAUCCUUUGACAACUCUAGAGAUAGAGCUUUCCCCUUCGGGGGACAAAGUGACAGGUGGUGCAUGGUUGUCGUCAGCUCGUGUCGUGAGAUGUUGGGUUAAGUCCCGCAACGAGCGCAACCCUUAAGCUUAGUUGCCAUCAUUAAGUUGGGCACUCUAAGUUGACUGCCGGUGACAAACCGGAGGAAGGUGGGGAUGACGUCAAAUCAUCAUGCCCCUUAUGAUUUGGGCUACACACGUGCUACAAUGGACAAUACAAAGGGCAGCGAAACCGCGAGGUCAAGCAAAUCCCAUAAAGUUGUUCUCAGUUCGGAUUGUAGUCUGCAACUCGACUACAUGAAGCUGGAAUCGCUAGUAAUCGUAGAUCAGCAUGCUACGGUGAAUACGUUCCCGGGUCU
This 1372-nucleotide ribosomal RNA is filed under the name uncultured bacterium. Its description in RNAcentral is "bacterial SSU rRNA". It matches the Rfam family "Bacterial small subunit ribosomal RNA", at positions 28 to 1381 of the family's 1533-position model. The record is from RNAcentral.